UACGAAGGGGGCUAGCGUUGUUCGGAAUUACUGGGCGUAAAGCGCACGUAGGCGGAUUUGUAAGUCAGGUGUGAAAUCCCAGGGCUCAACCCUGGAAGUGCACUUGAUACUGUAAGACUUGAGUGUGGUAGAGGCUAUUAGAAUUCUUGGUGUAGUGGUGAAAUACGUAGAUAUCAAGAGGAAUACCGGAGGCGAAGGCGGAUAGCUGGGCCAACACUGACACUGAGACCCGAAAGCGUGGGGAGCAAACAGG
This 253-nucleotide ribosomal RNA is filed under the name uncultured bacterium. RNAcentral describes it as "partial 16S ribosomal RNA". It matches the Rfam family "Bacterial small subunit ribosomal RNA", at positions 524 to 776 of the family's 1533-position model. The record is from RNAcentral.